RNAcentral lists this ribosomal RNA (486 nucleotides) under uncultured bacterium. RNAcentral describes it as "partial 16S ribosomal RNA". It matches the Rfam family "Bacterial small subunit ribosomal RNA", at positions 30 to 507 of the family's 1533-position model. The record is from RNAcentral.
AUUGAACGCUGGCGGCAUGCCUUACACAUGCAAGUCGAACGGCAGCACGGGUGCUUGCACCUGGUGGCGAGUGGCGAACGGGUGAGUAAUACAUCGGAACAUGUCCUGUAGUGGGGGAUAGCCCGGCGAAAGCCGGAUUAAUACCGCAUACGAUCUACGGAUGAAAGCGGGGGACCUUCGGGCCUCGCGCUAUAGGGUUGGCCGAUGGCUGAUUAGCUAGUUGGUGGGGUAAAGGCCUACCAAGGCGACGAUCAGUAGCUGGUCUGAGAGGACGACCAGCCACACUGGGACUGAGACACGGCCCAGACUCCUACGGGAGGCAGCAGUGGCGAAUUUUGGACAAUGGGCGAAAGCCUGAUCCAGCAAUGCCGCGUGUGUGAAGAAGGCCUUCGGGUUGUAAAGCACUUUUGUCCGGAAAGAAAUCCUUGGCCCUAAUACGGUCGGGGGAUGACGGUACCGGAAGAAUAAGCACCGGCUAACUACGUG